UACAGAGGUGGCAAGCGUUGUUCGGAAUUACUGGGCGUAAAGGGCGCGUAGGUGGCCAUCUAAGUCAGACGUGAAAUCCCCCGGCUUAACCGGGGAACUGCAUCUGAUACUGGAUGGCUUGAGUUCGGGAGAGGGAUGCGGAAUUCCAGGUGUAGCGGUGAAAUGCGUAGAUAUCUGGAGGAACACCGGUGGCGAAGGCGGCAUCCUGGACCGACACUGACGCUGAGGAGCGAAAGCCAGGGGAGCAAACGGG
RNAcentral lists this ribosomal RNA (253 nucleotides) under uncultured bacterium. RNAcentral describes it as "partial 16S ribosomal RNA". It matches the Rfam family "Bacterial small subunit ribosomal RNA", at positions 524 to 776 of the family's 1533-position model. The record is from RNAcentral.